Molecule: long non-coding RNA, 1373 nt
Filed under: Marmota monax (woodchuck)
Lineage: Eukaryota; Metazoa; Chordata; Mammalia; Rodentia; Sciuridae
Source: RNAcentral
GCGAUCCUCCUGCCUCAGCCUCCCCAGCCGCUGGGAUGACAGGCAGCACCUCCGUGCACCUGCCGGACAGACAGAUGGUCGUCUUAGUGGAGAAGAGCUGAGAAGAUGCUCUUGUUUCCAUAGCAACCCAGAGGGGGCAGCCCGGUGGACCGACAAGGUGUGGCAGGGAGAAGGUCAAGUGCACAACACCUUCCACAGGCCCUGGACCAUGGAUGGGAGGGGUUUUAUUUGCAUUUAAAAAAUUUGUUCUUCUCAGCUCUCCCUGACGGCAGCGAGCAUCCUGCCAUGUCCCACCUACACGGGGUGUGACGGCCCAUUCCUGUGGCUGGACCUGCUGUGGGGUGUCCCUGGUCGUGGGUUCCUCUGUGAACAUGGGAAAGUGACGUCCAUUCAUUCCCCUGUCUCUCCCAGUCCUGUCCCCUCCCUUCCCUCCACUCCCCUGUGUCUCAUCCAAUGAACUGCCAUUCCCCCCCUUGUUGUGAGUCAGUGUCCCCAUAUCAGAGAGGACACUCAGCCUUUGGUUUUGGGGGACUGGCUGAUUUCACUCAGCGUGAUCGUCUCCAGCUCCAUCCAUUUACCUGCAAAUGCCAUCCUUCUUGAUGGCUGAGUAAUAUUCCUCAUCCUUCUUGACGGCCAAGUAAUAUUCCACUGUGUACAUGGACCACAUUUUCUUUAUCCGUCCCUCUGUUGAAGGCCACCUCUGCUGGUCCCUAGCUUGGUGACUGUGAAUCGGGCUGUGAUGCACGCUGAUGCGGAAAGGUGGGAUUUUUACAAGGUGAACUUAGCCUCUAACCUGCAGGGACUCCCACACUGGCCGGAGGCGGGGGACGGGGUGGGGACACUGUGAACCUCAGAGCCUGUGCAGCAGCCUGAAAUCCAACCAAGAUGCAGACAACUCAGAUGUCCCUGAGGUUGGCUUCAAAAUCUCGUUGGUCACCUCUGGGCCUGCCAGGACCAGGGACAAUAGGGAUCUGUCCCUCCCCCCCCCGACCCCAGACCAUUCCAGGGCACAGCCCAGGGACAUCACGGAGGUGAAGAGAUGUGGCUGAAGGAGUUGAGGCUGGUGUCCCAAGCAUUUCUGUGGCCACCAACAGGGAGGAAAACGCCGUGUCACUGUGCUCUGGGCUCGGUGUCCCCCGCCAUCCACCCACAGGCCAGAGCAGCCCAGGGCAGGGACAUUCAUUGCAAGAGACUGUUUUUCAUCCUUGUUUUAUGUCCGAAUUGUUUCAAUGAAAGCAGAAGAAACAGCCACGGAGGGAUCUCGCCCUCAAGGACAUUCCAGCUUUGUCCCCGUGGCUGGGGAGGCCGAGGCAGGAGGAUGGCCAGGUGGAGGCCAGCCUGAGCCAAAGGGAGGCCCCGAGCGACCCAGCGAG